This 382-nucleotide long non-coding RNA is filed under the name Phoenix dactylifera (date palm). RNAcentral describes it as "long non-coding RNA (PDAC_LNC014830)". Lineage: Eukaryota; Viridiplantae; Streptophyta; Magnoliopsida; Arecales; Arecaceae. The record is from RNAcentral.
UUAUUGUCUUGUACUCGUCCAUUAAUUCAUUGAAGGCAUCAUAUAAUUCAUCGAAAGUAAAAUCUAAAUGUGUUGCGGAUGUUACCUCAUUGUCGUUAGCCAUAAAACACAGAUUGGCCUUUUCUUCUUGUUCUUCAUCCGAUGAUGAUGAUGAUGUGUCGGAGUCCGAUAGGGUGGAGACGAGGACUUUCUUCUUCUUGUACUUGCUCCCCUUUUUCAGCAAAGGACACUCAGCUCUGAAGUGCCCGGGCUUCUUACACUCAUAACAUCCAAUCCCCUCAUUUUUCCUUUCCUUACCUUUAUCCUUGUGAUAGGAACUUGAGGGGCCUCUCCUUUGAUGUGAGGACUUCUUCCGGUUGAUGAAUCUUCUGAAUUUUCUUAC